GUUCUCGACUGUCCCAAACUGUCUCUCAGCGAACCAACUGUAGUGGGAACGGUCACUAGAUAUCCAGCGAGGAAAGAAGACCUGUAGAGCUUCACUUUGGUCUAGUCUGUAUAGUUCUGCGGGGGUGUAGACUAGGUGGGAGAGCAAUCGAUUCUGAAAAACCACUACCCUGUUUGGAAUUAUGCUUACCUAUCACAAGGAAUAGGACUAGAUAGAAAGUUUGGCUGGGGCGGCACACUUCGAAAGAGCAGCGAAGGUGUCCUAAGUUGAGCUCAGUGAGGACAGAAAUCUCACGUUGAGGAUAAGGCCAAAAGCUCAAUUUACUGUGCCUUUUUGUACUAGGAUCAGUUACGAAAGUAAGGCCUAACGAUCCCUAAAUAGCCUCAGGUGCGUGAGGAUUGGGGUGACAGACAAGUUACCUCCGGGACAACUGGCUUGUGGCUGCUAAGAGAUCAAAUCAACGCAGCUUUUUGAUUCUUCGAUGUCGGCUCUUCCUAUCCUAGUGAUGUACAAGUUGCUAAGGGUCGGAUUGUUCACCCGUAUUAGGGAUCGUGAGCUGGGUUUAGACCGUCGUGAGCCAGGUUUGUUUUAUCCUACUGGAUAUAGCAUCAUGAUAGUAGAUUGAUUUAGUACGAGAGGAACUGUUGAUUAUGGCCUCUGGUUAGCGAUUAUCGGAAACGGUAUGUCGCGCAGCUACGCCGUCUGGGAUAAUGGCUGAAAGCCUCUUAAGCCAGAAGCCCAUCUAGAAAGUGAUGCACGUGAUGUUGGACCGAUACGAAUAAUCAUACUCAAAAGGUCCGCUUCAUAGGUAACCCAAUGUAGAAGACAUUGUGUGAACGAAGGUACUGUAAGCAGUGGAGUGGCAUUACGUCCACGACCUGUUGAGGUUCAGCUUCGCUUCUAGGUUUCC
Molecule: non-coding RNA, 910 nt
Filed under: Trichomonas vaginalis G3
Lineage: Eukaryota; Parabasalia; Trichomonadida; Trichomonadidae
Description: Eukaryotic large subunit ribosomal RNA
Rfam family: Eukaryotic large subunit ribosomal RNA
Source: Rfam by way of RNAcentral